AUUGCCUUAAAUGUACUUAAUGUCUAGUUUGAAAACUUUGGUGGUUGGUGAACAAGUCAUAUCCAUUCUAGAUGAAUGAUGCAAACGUUUUUUAUCUUACAGCAUGGUGUGAUAAUGUAAAAAUGUGUUUUCCCUUAGAGCUGAUUGCAGUCAUGAAAUGUACUUUUUUUGGCCUAGAUUAUAUCUGUCAUGAAUAAAUUAGCUUAAUUGUAACUUAGCUCCAUGUAUGGUUUCUUAAAUAUCAGUGAGGCAUAUGAAAUGUGUUUCAUCAGCCAUAACAAAUUUGUCAUUCUCUUAAAAGGGAAGGAGCUGUGACGGAUGCAUACCAACCUUUGACUACUAUACACUUGAGAAAGGUCAUUGACAUCACCGAAUCAAAGGGACAAAAUGGGAAGGCCUUAGACGGCAGCAAAGAGCACAGUACCAUCAUAAAUAAAAGCUCGGAGAGCAAGAUUGCUGCAAGCUCUGAAAGCACAACCUUGUAUGACCUUGUCUACAUCCUUUUGGCUGCUUGGCUAUUUGUGUACUGCCUUCUUGUGCUGCCUCAGAUUGACUCAAGAACGCUUCCUAAACUCCUCUUCAACAUAGAUGAGUGACUGCAAUAUUAACACACAAGACAAUGAAUUCUCACACCUACAACUCUGAUCACGUCCUUCUAGUUAAGGAAUAAUUCACCUGAAAAUUAAGGUACAGACAUUCUGAUAAAGAUUUCAUUUAUGUUCAGUGGAACAUACAUGAGGGUGAGUAAAUGAUGACAGAAUGAAUUUUCUUCGUUUGAGUAUUUUUGAGUGAACUAUUAACAUGAACCAGGAAUAAAUAAAAAAGUUUGAAAAAUUGGCCAUGUUGAUCAGCUUAGGUGCCUUUCUAUUUCCUUUCACACAUGCACACAAAGAAAAAGUGUUUUUUCUCUUUUAGAUGGAGGGUUUUUGUUUUCGGUCAACUUUUAACUGGGUAAUAUUUGGAUGCAUUAGGUGCACAUGCAGCACAAUUACAUAACAGAUAUACCAGAUUAUUUAUAAUGCUUCUGAAGAACAUGCUUUUUGGCCUUCUAUUUUGUUUGUGCAUACACUAUAUGAAGAAAAAGUAUCUGUCAGACUGUGCAGCUGUUUGUUUAAUGUAAGAGAAGGUAUUUGGUAUGCUUUAAGCUAUUAUGCUAUGAGAUUUUGAAUGUAUUUUUUUUAAGUGAUCACAUUAGAUAUACCCCUUUAUUUUUUGCGUUAUAUAGUAAAAAUGAAGGCUUUUCAGCACAGCAUGCUUUGAUUAUAUUCCAAUUACAUUUUUGAUAAAAUAAGGUCAGGGUAUUAUGGUAUUAAGAAAUAUCAUAUAGGGCUCUCUUAGUUAAGGGACACUUUAACAUAGUAUCAACAGCACUUUUUUUAACUCAAGAAAAGAACUGCCAAAGAUUCAGUUAAAGAUACUGAAACCUAUCCCCAACACAGUGAACAAAUUAUGAAUUAGCCUAUUAUUUUAGUAAUAAAUCCUGCACUUACAGUAUAUUUUAUGCAAACUACAAAAUGCAAGAGCACACAAAAAUCUAUCACAUUUAUUGGUCAUUUUACACAUUUAUAAAUACAAUAUAUUGACUGAAUUUGUCAUAUUUUGGACGCUGAAGGUUUUAGUGGUGGUUUUUAGGUCUUUGGGCUGGUAUAAAUCCUAAAACUGAAGGAUUUAAUCUGAACCUGUGAGGCCUGUAAUAUGUUGUAAAAAAAAAAAAUAAAAUCUUAUAUUUUCUUAAAUUGUAAGCUGAUAUUUACAGUAAAGAGCACAGACUGGCUGCAUGAUCAUAGCAAAUAAAAGUGAACUCUGGACAAAACCAGAAUGUUACUGCAUCCUGAUUUAUUUCUAAGCAAAAUAUGUCCAAUAUUGCAAACAAGCCAAACUUUCUGCAUGAGAAUGUGUAUGGAAAGUAACUUGUGUCUUUAACAUUUUUAAAAGUCACUAAGUGUAUCCAUGUCCUGCUUUUGUAAUGAAAAUUGUUACAUUUUCAUGUUUAAAUGCACUGGAGUGCAAUAAAUGAUAUAUCAUUUGGUUGCCAUAACUGUUAAUUGUGUGUUUUAGCAUGUCCUA
Molecule: long non-coding RNA, 2067 nt
Organism: Carassius auratus (goldfish)
Lineage: Eukaryota; Metazoa; Chordata; Actinopteri; Cypriniformes; Cyprinidae
Source: Ensembl